This is a non-coding RNA of Ceratotherium simum simum (southern white rhinoceros), 87 nucleotides long. Lineage: Eukaryota; Metazoa; Chordata; Mammalia; Perissodactyla; Rhinocerotidae. The record is from RefSeq and is a predicted model, not a curated record.
GACACCGCUCUUCCGAUCGCUGCAGUCCUUGUUUUUGGGUGGAUCACUGGGUAUGUGGCACAGUCCAUGCUUUUAACCAGAUUUGAA